UGAUACUCUUUUGGAAACAGUAGCUCAAAGGUUAAACAUUCAUCUCUUGGAAGCGUUUCCAACAGCCAAUUCUCUAUAUGAAACCUGACGUUGAUGACAACUUGAGCUGUUGUCGUUUUGGUGAACUCUACACUCAAUGAGGGACUUGAACUCACCACUUCAAACAAGAUUAAGAGUCAUAUGCUCUACCUUCUGAGCCAGCCAGAUGCCCCCAUAGUUAAGUGUUUUCAAAGUUGAAGCUGAAUUUAUCUCUAUAGGAUAAUGGUUUCUACUAUAUGUAAAAAAGAAAAAAGGAAGAAAAAUAGGAAAAAAGCAAGAUUUAAAUAAGAAAAGGUUUAGGAGACAAAUCAACUAACUAUAAUGUGUGACCUUGUUUGGAUACUGAUUAAGUAAACCAAAUGUCAAAAAAGAAAAAUCAUUUAGGAGAUAA
Canis lupus familiaris (dog) is the source of this 430-nucleotide long non-coding RNA. RefSeq lists it as uncharacterized. The record is from RefSeq and is a predicted model, not a curated record. NCBI's taxonomy places the organism in Eukaryota, Metazoa, Chordata, Mammalia, Carnivora, Canidae. The transcript is spliced from 3 exons.